ACUCAAAUGAAUUGACGGGGACCCGCACAAGCAGCGGAGCAUGUGGUUUAAUUCGAAGCAACGCGAAGAACCUUACCAGGGCUUGACAUCCCGCUGACGUACCUUUAAAAGGGUAUUUCCCUCGGGACAGCGGAGACAGGUGGUGCAUGGUUGUCGUCAGCUCGUGUCGUGAGAUGUUGGGUUAAGUCCCGCAACGAGCGCAACCCUUGUUUUUAGUUGCCAUCAGGUGAUGCUGGGCACUCUAAAGAGACUGCCGGGGAUAACUCGGAGGAAGGUGGGGAUGACGUCAAAUCAUCAUGCCCCUUAUGUUCUGGGCUACACACGUGCUACAAUGGCCGGUACAGAAGGAAGCAAAGCCGCGAGGCGGAGCAAAUCACUAAAACCGGCCCCAGUUCGGAUUGCAGGCUGAAACCCGCCUGCAUGAAGUCGGAGUUGCUAGUAAUCGUGAAUCAGAAUGUCACGGUGAAUACGUUCCCGGGUCUUGUACACACCGCCCGU
This 498-nucleotide ribosomal RNA is filed under the name uncultured bacterium. RNAcentral's name for it is "bacterial SSU rRNA". It matches the Rfam family "Bacterial small subunit ribosomal RNA", at positions 899 to 1397 of the family's 1533-position model. The record is from RNAcentral.